RNAcentral lists this ribosomal RNA (488 nucleotides) under Cytherissa tuberculata. RNAcentral describes it as "partial large subunit ribosomal RNA". It matches the Rfam family "Eukaryotic large subunit ribosomal RNA", at positions 406 to 741 of the family's 3401-position model. Lineage: Eukaryota; Metazoa; Arthropoda; Ostracoda; Podocopida; Cytherideidae. The record is from RNAcentral.
UGUUCGGAGGUAAACGGAUGGAAGAGGUCGUGGGUUUAGGGGCACUCUGAGCCCGAUGGGGAGGCUUCGAUGUAUUGAAGACGUGCUGUCUCUCGGGGCAGUCGCUUUGCAUGUUGUUGUCUUCUCUUUCAGGCCGUGAUUCUCUCCUCCCGCCGCCACAGCUAGUUACUCGAUGGCCGAAGGACUCUGAGGAAGUUAGUUGUUUUUUGGUCCUCGUGGUCAAUGGCAGCUAGCCUUGGAACUCCUGGUAUAUCAGGUGACUGCAGAUGAAAUACUGGAAGCCAAGACACGCCUCUGGGCGUGGGAUCCAUGCUCCGGCGUGGGGAUUCUCCCACUGAUGUCUUUGGUUGUGGCGUUUGUGCCUUGUUCCAUUCGAUCCGUCUUGAAACACGGACCAAGGAGUUUAACAUGUGCGCGAGUCAUUGGGUGUCGAGAAACCUAAAGGCGAAAUGAAGGGGAAGACUUUCUUUAAGAAGUUGACGGAGGAU